GGGACUGUGGGGUAGCUUGGUAGCCUGUAAGGUUCGGGGCCUUUUGACCCGGGUUCGAAUCCCGGCAGCCCCA
This 73-nucleotide transfer RNA is filed under the name Candidatus Woesearchaeota archaeon. Its description in RNAcentral is "tRNA-Pro". It matches the Rfam family "tRNA". From Rfam's summary of the family: Transfer RNA (tRNA) molecules are approximately 80 nucleotides in length. Their secondary structure includes four short double-helical elements and three loops (D, anti-codon, and T loops). The record is from RNAcentral. Lineage: Archaea; Nanobdellati; Candidatus Woesearchaeota.